CCUACGGGAGGCAGCAGUAGGGAAUCUUGCGCAAUGGGCGAAAGCCUGACGCAGCGACGCCGCGUGCGGGAAGAAGGCCUUCGGGUUGUAAACCGCUUUUAGGAGGGACGAAGCCACUCGGGUUAAUAGCCCAGAGGGUGACGGUACCUCCAGAAGAAGCCCCGGCUAACUACGUGCCAGCAGCCGCGGUAAU
This 193-nucleotide ribosomal RNA is filed under the name uncultured bacterium. RNAcentral's name for it is "partial 16S ribosomal RNA". It matches the Rfam family "Bacterial small subunit ribosomal RNA", at positions 338 to 524 of the family's 1533-position model. The record is from RNAcentral.